UACGGGGGGUGCGAGCGUUGUCCGGAAUCACUGGGCGUAAAGGGCGCGUAGGCGGGAUGGCAAGUCGGUCGUGAAAUCCCUCGGCUCAACCGAGGAGCGUCGGCCGAUACUGCCGUUCUUGAGGGAUGCAGAGGAGACUGGAAUUCCCGGUGUAGCGGUGAAAUGUGUAGAGAUCGGGAAGAACAUCAGUGGCGAAGGCGGCCUGCUGGGCUGUUGCUGACGCUGAGGCGCGACAGCGUGGGGAGCAAACAGG
RNAcentral lists this ribosomal RNA (253 nucleotides) under uncultured bacterium. Its description in RNAcentral is "partial 16S ribosomal RNA". It matches the Rfam family "Bacterial small subunit ribosomal RNA", at positions 524 to 776 of the family's 1533-position model. The record is from RNAcentral.